Molecule: ribosomal RNA, 240 nt
Filed under: uncultured Lactobacillus sp.
Lineage: Bacteria; Bacillati; Bacillota; Bacilli; Lactobacillales; Lactobacillaceae
Description: partial 16S ribosomal RNA
Rfam family: Bacterial small subunit ribosomal RNA
Source: RNAcentral
UAACCUGCCCAAGAGAUCGGGAUAACACCUGGAAACAGAUGCUAAUACCGGAUAACAACAGAUGAUGCCUAUCAACUGUUUAAAAGAUGGUUCUGCUAUCACUCUUGGAUGGACCUGCGGUGCAUUAGCUAGUUGGUAGGGUAACGGCCUACCAAGGCGAUGAUGCAUAGCCGAGUUGAGAGACUGAUCGGCCACAUUGGGACUGANACACGGCCCAAACUCCUACGGGAGGCAGCAGCC